UCAUCACGGUUUGUAUGUGUUACGUUUGACGUUUUUUUUCUCCUCUUGGUCUGGGUUUUUGCGUUUCGAUUGAUUUCUUCAUGAUAACUUACACAUUGAUCAUCAGACCAAAACCGAAGGGAAAGACAUCGAACAUAAUUGCAAAUAACUCUAUGUGAUUGGUCAUGGUGGUGUCACUCUGACCCUGCUUCCGAGUCCAAUCACACGAUGAGCCGCGCCCCCUCACAGCCAGAGCGAAAGAGCUGCAGGAGCUGAGGCAGUUUGACCAGGACUGGCGGUAUGGACCCUGCACAGGUAUCAGUCGUUUGCAGCAGUGGGAGAGAGCUGCACAGCAUGGGUUAAACCCCCCUCAGGAGAUCAGAUAUAUGCUGUUUAGCGCAGACACAGACUACACACACUGUCUGUCGAGUGACUAUCCAUUGUGAGAAAUGGAAAGAGGAGAGACAGAGAAGAUAAAAGUAGAAUGUCCAAAGUUCAGGUUGUUUUGCUUUUGUUUAGUUCAGGAUUGACUGCUAACCAUCACACUAUACGUUUUUAUUAAAAUACCCUUUUCUACAAAAAUAUAAGUUUUUAUUAGGUCUGACACACACCACUGCCUCUUUUGAGACAUUUACAUACAUAUUUGUAUAGGUAACCCAUUUCAAACUAAUCUAUUUAAAUUGUAUAUGUACCAGAGUGAGGAAGAGAGAGAGAGAGAGGGACAGUCAGAUGUUGCUAUUACCUGCUUAUGUUGUGUCGACAGUGACACAUUCUAUUACACAGUAAUCCUUAGAACUCAGGACAGCCUCAAUCGGGGCAUGGACUCUACAAGGUGUCGAGAGCAUUCUACAGGGAUGCUGGCCCA
Molecule: long non-coding RNA, 844 nt
Organism: Oncorhynchus tshawytscha (Chinook salmon)
Lineage: Eukaryota; Metazoa; Chordata; Actinopteri; Salmoniformes; Salmonidae
Exons: 4
Source: RefSeq, a predicted model, not a curated record